UUGAACCAUGGAUUUUGAGGUUGCAAUGAGCUUUAAUUACUUCAGCCUGGGGAAUGGAGUGAGACCCUGUCUCUAAAAAUAAAUAAAUAAAUAAAAUAAACUUUAGUAAUAAUGGGGUAACUGUUUAGUUGGUAUUUUACUGCUUUCCAUGAUACACUCUGGAUAAACUAAUUAUUUGUUGGAUUCCAUUGAACUUUUCAGGAAUCUAUUUUUGUGUGUGUGGACUGUUACUAUUAAUAGUUCUGUGCUGUGUAUACCACCAGCUCCCAAUAAAUGUCGCAUUCAGAGCAUUUUUGCACUAGGAAGAUUUAGGGUGCAAAUGAACUCUGACAGAAGAAUCUGUAGUAUACAAGGUUUUCAGAAGACAACCCACCUGCUCCAUACUUCGAAAUAAUGAGAUUCACAACGAUUAUGAUCUUUGGCCGGGCGCGGUGGCUCACGCCUGUAAUACCAGCACUUUGGGAGGCCGAAGCGGGCGGAUCACGAGGUCAGGAGUACGAGACCAGCCUGACCAACGUGGUGAAACCCCGUCUCUACUAAAAAUACAAAAAUUAGCCGGUCGUGGUGGCGCGCGCCUGUAAUCCCAGCUUCUCGGGGGGCUGAGGCAGAAGAAUCGCUUGAACCCGGGAGGUGGAGGUUUGAGCCGAGAUCGCGCCACUGCACUCCAUCCUGGGCGACAGAGUGAAGACUCCGUCUCGAAAAAAAAAAAAAAUCAUUACCUUUGGGGAAGGCAGUAUCCGUGUCUGCCUGGCUCACUGUUUUACCCGUCGCACCUAGUUAUUUUUUCAAUAAAU
RNAcentral lists this long non-coding RNA (794 nucleotides) under Homo sapiens (human). Its description in RNAcentral is "HSALNT0219547". Lineage: Eukaryota; Metazoa; Chordata; Mammalia; Primates; Hominidae. The record is from RNAcentral.